GGGCUCACUUCUGCAGCACAUAUACCAAAAUUGGAAGAAUACAGAGAAGAUUAGUAUGGCCACUGAGCAAGAAUGACACGCAAAUUUGUGAAGCAUUCCAUAUUUUA
Molecule: small nuclear RNA, 107 nt
Filed under: Dasypus novemcinctus (nine-banded armadillo)
Lineage: Eukaryota; Metazoa; Chordata; Mammalia; Cingulata; Dasypodidae
Source: RNAcentral